RNAcentral lists this ribosomal RNA (286 nucleotides) under uncultured Methylomirabilota bacterium. Its description in RNAcentral is "uncultured candidate division NC10 bacterium partial 16S ribosomal RNA". It matches the Rfam family "Bacterial small subunit ribosomal RNA", at positions 1060 to 1345 of the family's 1533-position model. Lineage: Bacteria; Methylomirabilota (SeqCode). The record is from RNAcentral.
UCGUGUCGUGAGAUGUUGGGUUAAGUCCCGCAACGAGCGCAACCCUCACCUCUUGUUGCCAACAGGUCAUGCUGGGCACUCUAGAGGAACUGCCCCGGUCAACGGGGAGGAAGGCGGGGAUGACGUCAAGUCAUCAUGCCCCUUACGUCCUGGGCUGCACACGUGCUACAAUGGCCAGUACAAAGGGAUGCGAGACCGCGAGGUGGAGCUAAUCCCAAAAAGCUGGUCUAAGUUCAGAUUGCAGUCUGCAACUCGACUGCAUGAAGGAGGAAUCGCUAGUAAUCGC